Molecule: non-coding RNA, 80 nt
Organism: Pelobates cultripes (western spadefoot toad)
Lineage: Eukaryota; Metazoa; Chordata; Amphibia; Anura; Pelobatidae
Source: the annotation of a GenBank genome assembly
UGUGUGUGUGUGUAUGUAUGUAUGUGUGUAUAUAUAUAUAUAUAUAUAUAUACACACACACACACACACACACACACACA